GGAUAACGUUUGGAAACGAACGCUAAUACCGCAUGAUAUUAUCUUAUCGCAUGAUAGGAUGAUCAAAGGAGUGAUCCGCUGAAAGAUGGGCUCGCGUCCGAUUAGGUAGUUGGUGAGGUAACGGCCCACCAAGCCGACGAUCGGUAGCCGGACUGAGAGGUUGGACGGCCACAUUGGGACUGAGACACGGCCCAGACUCCUACGGGAGGCAGCAGUAAGGGAUAUUGGUCAAUGGGGGAAACCCUGAACCAGCAACGCCGCGUGAGGGAAGACGGUUUUCGGAUUGUAAACCUCUGUCCUCUGUGAAGAUGAUGACGGUAGCAGAGGAGGAAGCUCCGGCUAACUACGUGCCAGCAGCCGCGGUAAUACGUAGGGAGCGAGCGUUGUCCGGAUUUACUGGGUGUAAAGGGUGCGUAGGCGGCUAUGCAAGUCAGUAGUGAAAUCCAUGGGCUUAACCCAUGAACUGCUAUUGAAACUGCACAGCUUGAGUGAAGUAGAGGUAGGCGGAAUUCCCGGUGUAGCGGUGAAAUGCGUAGAGAUCGGGAGGAACACCAGUGGCGAAGGCGGCCUACUGGGCUUUAACUGACGCUGAGGCACGAAAGCGUGGGUAGCAAACAGGAUUAGAUACCCUGGUAGUCCACGCUGUAAACGAUGAUUACGAGGUGUGGGGGGACUGAACCCUUCCGUGCCGGA
RNAcentral lists this ribosomal RNA (693 nucleotides) under uncultured bacterium. RNAcentral's name for it is "bacterial SSU rRNA". It matches the Rfam family "Bacterial small subunit ribosomal RNA", at positions 141 to 850 of the family's 1533-position model. The record is from RNAcentral.